GAGACCCGGGUAGUCCUAGCCGUAAACGAUGCUCGCUAGUUGCAUUCAUUUUGAUUUUCCAUAAUGGGUGUGGCGAAGCUAACGCGUUAAGCGAGCCGCCUGGGGAGUACGACCGCAAGGUUGAAACUCAAAGGAAUUGGCGGGGAGACACACAACUAGUGGAACAUGUGGUUUAAUUCGAGGCGAACCGAAGAACCUCACCAAGGCUUGACAUCCUUAUGACCGCUUUAUGAAAGUAAAGCUUUCUUUUGACGUAAGGACAGCUGUUGCAUGGCUAUCGUCAGUUCGUUCCGUGAGGAGUGCCCUUAAGUGGGACAACGAACGUAACCUUUGUCCCCGUGUUAUAUUUGUCACGGGAGACUGCUCGCGCUUUGCGCGGGAGGAAGG
RNAcentral lists this ribosomal RNA (387 nucleotides) under uncultured bacterium. RNAcentral's name for it is "bacterial SSU rRNA". It matches the Rfam family "Bacterial small subunit ribosomal RNA", at positions 781 to 1173 of the family's 1533-position model. The record is from RNAcentral.